UACGUAGGUGGCGAGCGUUGUCCGGAUUUACUGGGCGUAAAGGGCUUGUAGGCGGUCCGCUAAGUCUGGUGUGAAAUCUCCCGGCUCAACUGGGAGGGGUCAUCGGAUACUGGCGGACUUGAGGGGGGUAGAGGAAAGCAGAAUUCCUGGUGUAGCGGUGAAAUGCGUAGAUAUCAGGAGGAAUACCAGUGGCGAAGGCGGCUUUCUGGGCCUACCCUGACGCUGAGGAGCGAAAGCGUGGGUAGCAAACAGG
Molecule: ribosomal RNA, 253 nt
Filed under: uncultured bacterium
Lineage: Bacteria
Description: partial 16S ribosomal RNA
Rfam family: Bacterial small subunit ribosomal RNA
Source: RNAcentral